Molecule: ribosomal RNA, 433 nt
Filed under: uncultured bacterium
Lineage: Bacteria
Description: partial 16S ribosomal RNA
Rfam family: Bacterial small subunit ribosomal RNA
Source: RNAcentral
AACGAACGCUGGCGGCAUGCCUAACACAUGCAAGUCGUACGAGACCUUCGGGUCUAGUGGCGCACGGGUGCGUAACGCGUGGGAACCUGCCCUUAGGUUCGGAAUAACUCCCCGAAAGGGGUGCUAAUACCGGAUAAUGUCUUCGGACCAAAGAUUUAUCGCCUUUGGAUGGGCCCGCGUUGGAUUAGCUAGUUGGUAGGGUAAAAGCCUACCAAGGCGACGAUCCAUAGCUGGUCUGAGAGGAUGAUCAGCCACACUGGGACUGAGACACGGCCCAGACUCCUACGGGAGGCAGCAGUGGGGAAUAUUGGACAAUGGGCGAAAGCCUGAUCCAGCAAUGCCGCGUGAGUGAUGAAGGCCUUAGGGUUGUAAAGCUCUUUUAACCGGGAUGAUAAUGACAGUACCGGGAGAAUAAGCUCCGGCUAACUCCGUG